RNAcentral lists this long non-coding RNA (232 nucleotides) under Pan troglodytes (chimpanzee). RNAcentral's name for it is "long non-coding RNA NONPTRT012975". Lineage: Eukaryota; Metazoa; Chordata; Mammalia; Primates; Hominidae. The record is from RNAcentral.
CAGCAUCCAACACUGUGAAAGGCCACAUCUUCAACAGGGAGUGAACAGUAUCUCUACCUUUAGCCUUCCAGAAUCUCUGAAAGGCCGUCUCCCUGCAGACAUUUCUUUGUAUAGUUCAAAUUCCCAAGAGAUAGAUUCUGGUUAUCUGUUGGUGAAGCAAUGAAUUCACUGGCCUUCAGUCAGAGAUUCCUCCCUGCCCAACAGCAGUGCCUGGGAAGUGGGAUACCAUGGU